RNAcentral lists this ribosomal RNA (253 nucleotides) under uncultured bacterium. RNAcentral's name for it is "partial 16S ribosomal RNA". It matches the Rfam family "Bacterial small subunit ribosomal RNA", at positions 524 to 776 of the family's 1533-position model. The record is from RNAcentral.
UACGUAGGGGGCUAGCGUUGUCCGGAAUCAUUGGGCGUAAAGCGCGUGUAGGCGGUCCGGUAAGUCCGCUGUGAAAGUCGGGGGCUCAACCCUCGGAUGCCGGUGGAUACUGUCGGGCUAGAGUCCGGAAGAGGCGAGUGGAAUUCCUGGUGUAGCGGUGGAAUGCGCAGAUAUCAGGAGGAACACCAACGGCGAAGGCAGCUCGCUGGGACGGUACUGACACUAAGGCGCGAAAGCGUGGGGAGCGAACAGG